Molecule: non-coding RNA, 208 nt
Organism: Chloroflexi bacterium RBG_16_52_11
Lineage: Bacteria; Bacillati; Chloroflexota
Source: Rfam
CAGUUGUCGUGCCAACGGCAUCGCUGGGUAGCUAUGUCUGGCAGAGAUAACCGCUGAAAGCAUCUAAGUGGGAAACUCGCCUCAAGAUUAGAUCCCUCAUCCCGCUAAGGGAGUAAGGCCGCAGGUAGACCACCUGCUUGAUAGGCGGCAUGUGUAAGCGCAGUAAUGCGUUCAGCUAAGCCGUACUAAUGGCCGAGGGCUUACUCCG